Molecule: ribosomal RNA, 417 nt
Filed under: uncultured bacterium
Lineage: Bacteria
Description: bacterial SSU rRNA
Rfam family: Bacterial small subunit ribosomal RNA
Source: RNAcentral
AGCCAGCAGCCGCGGUAAUACGUAGGUGGCAAGCGUUGUCCGGAAUUACUGGGCGUAAAGGGCGCGUAGGUGGCCUGUCAAGUCAGAUGUGAAAUCCCCGGGCUUAACCCGGGAACUGCAUUUGAAACUGAUGGGCUUGAGGGCAGGAGAGGAAAGCGGAACUCCCAGUGUAGCGGUGAAAUGCGUAGAUAUUGGGAGGAACACCAGUGGCGAAGGCGGCUUUCUGGACUGUACCUGACACUGAGGCGCGAAAGCCAGGGGAGCGAACGGGAUUAGAUACCCCGGUAGUCCUGGCCGUAAACGAUGGGUACUAGGUGUUGGGGGUAUCGACCCCCCCAGUGCCGCAGCUAACGCAAUAAGUACCCCGCCUGGGGAGUACGGCCGCAAGGUUGAAACUUAAAGGAAUUGGCGGGGGAC